AACCAUAGAAACCUGCGGAGUACCUGCGGAGGGAUCAUUACAGAGAAUUUGCCCGUCUGGGUAGAUCUCCCACCCUUUGUUUACUAUACCUUUGUUGCUUUGGCAAGCCUGUCUUGUGACUACUGGCCUCCAGCUAGUAAGUGCUUGCCAGAGGACCCCAAACACUUUACAUUGUGUUGUCUGAGUAGUACAGAAAUUUUUAAAACUUUCAACAACGGAUCUCAGAUCGGAAGAGCACAC
This 240-nucleotide unclassified non-coding RNA is filed under the name soil metagenome. RNAcentral's name for it is "partial contains 5.8S ribosomal RNA, internal transcribed spacer 2, and large subunit ribosomal RNA". The record is from RNAcentral.